ACAAUGGAGAGUUUGAUCCUGGCUCAGGAUGAACGCUAGCGGCAGGCCUAAUACAUGCAAGUCGAACGGGAUCUAGAAGCUUGCUUUU
Molecule: non-coding RNA, 88 nt
Organism: Belliella pelovolcani
Lineage: Bacteria; Pseudomonadati; Bacteroidota; Cytophagia; Cytophagales; Cyclobacteriaceae
Source: Rfam